UCACAACCUGCUUGAAUGAGGAG
Molecule: microRNA, 23 nt
Filed under: Biomphalaria glabrata
Lineage: Eukaryota; Metazoa; Mollusca; Gastropoda; Planorbidae
Also listed under: 2 other names
Description: piRNA piR-bgl-104566
Source: RNAcentral